Exaiptasia diaphana is the source of this 480-nucleotide long non-coding RNA. RefSeq lists it as uncharacterized. The transcript has 3 exons. The record is from RefSeq and is a predicted model, not a curated record. Lineage: Eukaryota; Metazoa; Cnidaria; Anthozoa; Actiniaria; Aiptasiidae.
UGUUCUAAUUGUCUCGUUCGAGCGCCAUUUCUAACGGUCAUGUUUGAGGCGAGUCUACAGAUUUUUCGUCUUUCAUGGCAGUUCUCGUGGAUUUUAUUCGUUUACAAACAACAUCUUUCAACUAGUAAGCUAUCCGAAUGGCUUUAGUGUCUUUAGGCAUGAUAUUUAACCGUGGAUGACAGUCAACUGGUGAGAUUCGAUGGCAAUUUAACUCUUACAUGUGAGGCACCAAAUCAAAGUCUUGAAACGAAUAAAUAUGGAUACAUGUAGUGUACAAGAAGCUCAAUCCAGUCGCUCAAUCAGCUGAAACUAAUGAAGGACAAGAAAGGGAAGAAAUUGUCAUAAAAAAUUGUUAGUGUUCAUGAUCGAUUUGCACGCACUUAGAGUGUGUACUCUAUCGACCACUUUUGUUACUGUUGAAUUGAAGUGACGUUCAUCGAGUUUUAAUAUGAUUGAAUAAAAUAGUGCAAUUUGGUUGGC